ACCUGAUCAGCCAUGCCGCGUGAGUGAAGAAGGCCUUCGGGUUGUAAAGCUCUUUCAGCCGGAACGAAAAGGUCACGGCUAAUACCCGUGACUAAUGACGGUACCGGAAGAAGAAGCACCGGCUAACUACGUGCCAGCAGCCGCGGUAAUAA
This 152-nucleotide ribosomal RNA is filed under the name uncultured ammonia-oxidizing bacterium. RNAcentral's name for it is "partial 16S ribosomal RNA". It matches the Rfam family "Bacterial small subunit ribosomal RNA", at positions 381 to 526 of the family's 1533-position model. The record is from RNAcentral.